This is a long non-coding RNA of Eriocheir sinensis (Chinese mitten crab), 6737 nucleotides long. RefSeq lists it as uncharacterized. The transcript has 3 exons. The record is from RefSeq and is a predicted model, not a curated record. Lineage: Eukaryota; Metazoa; Arthropoda; Malacostraca; Decapoda; Varunidae.
AUUCCUAAGGGGAGGAGACUGGGGGAUUCGGGGGUAUGAUAUUCCUAAGGGGAGGAGACUUGGGGAUUCGGGGGUAUGAUAUUCCUAAGGGGAGGAGACUGGGGUAUUUGGGGGUAUGAAAUUCCUCAAGGGUGGGGGGGGGAGGGCAUGAGGUGGGUGACUUUUCUUUGGUUUCAUUCACUUCAAGGGCAAGAAAAGAAAUGGAAACUCAAAACCUCGUUAGCGCUGAUAAUCCAAAUAGCGUAUCAUAGAAGAAUUCCUAAAGAGAGCGUCAGAACCUUUUUUAGUAUUAAAUUUACAGUAAAGGAAGUAGGUCAAGGGCAAACAAAUAAAGGAUAAGAGAAAAAUAUAAGUCCGCUAAUUACUCCCCCUUUAAAAGAUUGUAUAGAGUGGCCAAAAGAGAGGUCAAUUUCGGGAGGAGAUUUGUUAGGCUAAUAGGAAAGAAAAAAGCCCUCUAAUCACUUCCCUUAUAAAAGAGUGUAUAGAUGAGUGGUUACAAAAGAGAGGUCAAUUUAGGGAGGGGAGUUGUUAGGGUAAGUAAGGAAAAAUAAAUGUCCUCUAAUCAAUGUUCCUAUAAAAGAGUAUUAGAUGAGUGGUCAAAAGAGAGGUCAAUUUCGAAAGGACAGUUGUUAGGCUAUUAAAGGAAAAAAAAGUCCUCUAAUCAAUGUUCCUAUAAAAGAGUGUUAGAUGAGUGGUCAAAAGAGAGGUCAAUUUCGAAAGGACAGUUGUUAGGCUAAUAAAGGAAAAAAAAUCCUCUAAUCAAUGUUCCUAUAAAAGAGUGUUAGAUGAAUGGUCAAAAGAGAGGUCAAUUUCGAAAGGACAGUUGUCAGGCUAAUAAAGGAAAAAAAAGUCCUCUAAUCAAUGUUCCUAUAAAAGAGUGUUAGAUGAAUGGUCAAAAGAGAGGUCAAUUUCGAAAGGACAGUUGUUAGGCUAUUAAAGGAAAAAAAAAGUCCUCUAAUCAAUGUUCCUAUAAAAGAGUGUUAGAUGAAUGGUCAAAAGAGAGGUCAAUUUCGAAAGGACAGUUGUUAGGCUAUUAAAGGAAAAAAAAGUCCUCUAAUCAAUGUUCCUAUAAAAGAGUGUUAGAUGAAUGGUCAAAAGAGAGGUCAAUUUCGAAAGGACAGUUGUUAGGCUAUUAAAGGAAAAAAAAAAAAGUCCUCUAAUCAAUGUUCCUAUAAAAGAGUGUUAGAUGAAUGGUCAAAAGAGAGGUCAAUUUCGAAAGGACAGUUGUUAGGCUAUUAAAGGAAAAAAAAAGUCCUCUAAUCAAUGUUCCUAUAAAAGAGUGUUAGAUGAAUGGUCAAAAGAGAGGUCAAUUUCGAAAGGACAGUUGUUAGGCUAUUAAAGGAAAAAAAAAAGUCCUCUAAUCACUGCCCUUGUAAAAGAGUAUAUAGAUGAGUUGUUACAAGAGAGGUCAAUUUCGGGAGAAGAGUUGUUAGGAUAAUUAAAGGAAAAAAAAAGUCCACUAAUCACUGUCCCUGAAAAAGAGUGUACAGAUGAGAGGUCAAAAAAGAGGUCAAUUUCGGGAGGCGAGAUGUUAGGUUAAUACUUGAUGGUGAUAACGAGAAAUACUUUGCGAUUUGAGCUCUGAAUCUGAAUGUUCUUCCAGUUUUCGCUUUUGUGGAGCAGCGACAUGGUAGGCUAUUUCUGUAACCUUAUCUUUUUUUCACAUCGGGCUACCUCCGUUGGCUUAAAAAUGAUAUUCUUCUGAUAAUGUUAUAACACUUCUUUUCUUUUUCUUUUCAAGCAAACUAUAUGAUAAUCUAAAAUGUUUUGCUAGGAGAAAGAGGCUCUAGAAAAUAACACUGGCAAGCUUCGAACUAAUGCCCAUAUUCUUAAACGUAUUGGACUCCAUUACGGCUAUUUCCCAAGGACACAGAGAAGAUUAACCAGCUUUUCAUAGGUACUGUUUUUCCCGUUCAUGGUGCAGAGGUCAUGUAAAACUAUCACCAUGAUCACGAUACACUCCAUGAAAAUCCUAUCAAAUUCAACGAGAGGCUUUUCAAAGGGUCGAACUGAGGUGUCGAUACAUUUAAAAAUACUGUAUAAUAGAAGAAUUCCUAAAAAGAGAGAGUCAGAACCUUAUUUAAGAGAGCAAGAAGAUCGCCAGUAGAACGCCCUUUGCGGAACCCCUACUGGCGAUCAGAUAGAAGGUCAGAAGUGGAUAGGUGCUUUUGAAUCUUCCGGUUAAGUAUUAAUUUUACAGUAAAGGAAGCAGCUCAAGGGCAAACAAAUAAAAGAUAAGGUUUUCAUGAGUGUUUUUUCUCGUUCAUGUUGCAGGAGUUGUGUAAAAUUAUCACUAGGAUCACAAAACACUCCACUCGAUACGUAUAAGAAUAUGGGGAUUAAUUCGAAGCUUGAAAGUGUUUAUUUUUUAUAGCCUCUUUCUCCUAGCAAAACAUUUUAGAUUACCAUAUAGUUUGCUUGAAAAGAAAAUGAAAAGAAAAUAGUGUUAUAACAUCAGAAGAAUAUCAUUUUUAUACCAACGGAGGCGAACUUUGGUGCGGAUACAUUUAAAAAUACGGCUUGAUUGUUUUGAUGGCAGUGAAUGAGUAAGCGAUUAAUGAAUAAGCGAGUUCCAAUGUUGCCCAAGUUUGCUUCAAUGUAUUAAUUCCUCGUCUGAAAUACUGGUUUACUUUCCUUUCCUAUUUUGUGUGUAACGAUUGAUUGAUUGAUUGAUAGUUUAUUGUUGCAAGUAAACAAGAAAAGAGAAUGGAGGAGCAUGCAAUGUUUGAAUUUUCUUUAGAGUUAUAAUUUCUCACAGUUUUGGUAAUAUCCCUAGUUAUGUCAUGGUAACUGUACAUAUUGAUUUUGCGGGGAGGGGAAGAUGAAGAAUGUGUUAAUUAUUAAGAUACAAAUAUUCAUACAUUAUUUUCGGGGUAAUUCACCACAUGACAAACUUUACAUACAAAAUCUUUAUAUUGUGAUGACGACAAAUACUGGUUUACUUUCCUAUUUUCUGUGUAACAUGUUUGAAUUUUCUUUAGAGUUAUAAUUUCUCACAGUUUUGGUAAUAUCUCUAAAGUUAUGUCAUGCUGAUAGUUUAUAUUGAUUUUGUGGGGGAGGGGAAGAUGAAAAAUGUCUUAAUCCUUACGAUGCAAAUAUUCAUACAUUAUUUUCAGGGUAAUUCACCACAUGACAAACUUUACAUGCAUAACCUUUAUAUUGUGAUGACGAGAAGUGGAGGCUGUUAAAAUACAUUGGUACAUUUUUUUUUCAAAUCACAAUACAUUUUUUGGAUAUUUAUUAUGGUGGUUGCCUAUGGAAGGUGCAUCAGUUAACCUGGAAAACUGUUUUUUGUCAAGAUAUAUUUAAUUUCGUAGUGUUUAUGAGAGAGAUUUAUGUGGCCGUGUGGAGCUCUUACACACACACACACACACACACACAGAAGUACAAACACACACAUACACAAACAUUCUCAUACAUAUACGCACAUACCUACCUACCAACCUAAUACGCACACACACAUACAUACAUACAUACACACAUAUACAUACGUACACCAACACAUAUCCACUCAUCUCGCUAAAUUAAACAACCUUAUCAUAGGGUCUAGAGAAGGAAGGGGAGAGAGAAAAAUCGAUUCCAUCCCACAUCCCCUCAUUCUCUUCCCCUCUUCUCCUCUCUCUUCCCUUCUUCUCCUCUCCCCCCCAAACCCCGCUAAGGGCCCCACGUGUCGCCUUGACCUCGGUACAGUGACACCCUUAUUUUCCAGUCCCUACCUUGCCUAAAAAUUCCUUUGGUAGACUUUAUUUCACCUUUAACAUGAGGUGGGCGGCCUGGCAGGUGUGUGUGGGAGUUUGAUAGACCAGGUGGGACAGGUAAGAGAGAGAGAGAGAGAGAGAGAGAGAGAGAGAGAGAGAGAGAGAGAGAGAGAGAGAGAGAGAGAGAGAGAGAGAGAGAGAGAGAGAGAGAGAGAGAGAGAGACAGGUAGAAAAGUAGAGAGCAGAAAGAGACAAGGGCAGAGAGAGAGAGAGAGAGAGAGAGAGAGAGAGAGAGAGAGAGAGAGAGAGAGAGAGAGAGAGAGAGAGAGAGAGAGAGAGAGAGAGAGAGAGAGGACAGACAGGUAGAUAAAAAAUACAGGUAGAAAGGUAGACAGGCACACAGAGACAAAGGGAGCGAGCGAGCGCGAGAGAGAGAGAGAGAGAGAGAGAGAGAGAGAGAGAGAGAGAGAGAGAGAGAGAGAGAGCACUGAACAAGCAUUCCCUUUAAUACACAAACAAAGGACCUUUUUCACAGUAACAAAGACCUUAUCACAUAGACAAAGCGAAUUGUUCCAUGCUAACAUACUCAUUUUUUUUUGGGGGGGGGAGGGGAGGGGGGGGGGCGCGGGGGUGUUUACAGAUAUACAAACAACGCUUUUUUUUUAACUUCAAUAACAACAACAACAAAAAAUCUGAAAUGGGAACGCUGUUUUUUUUUUUUUUUGACGAGCUAAUAAAAUGAAAACGAAACAAGAAACAGACGAAAAAAAAAGAAACAGACAAAGACAAGACAAAAAGAGUGAAAAGAAAAAAAACAAAAACAGAAAAAAACGAAAAACAUAGAGAAAAGAAAAAAAACAGAGAAAGGCAAACUAAAUAAAAAACAGACAAAUACAAAACAAAACAAAAAACGGACAAAGACAAAAGCAAAACCAAAAAAAAAAACAGACAAAACAAAAGAAAACAAAAACAGAAAAAAAAACACGUAAAUUAUUUUUCUCUCACUAAUAAAAAGACAUGUAAUAGAAACGCAGAUUUUUUCUCACUCACUAAAAAAAAAAAGAAAAAAAAGCCAUAGCGGAGUUUUUUCACACACUAACAAAAGAAAACAAAAACAAAACAAAAAAAUAAACAUACUUAAAUUACUUUUUUCACUAAUAAAAAGACAUGUAAUAGAAACGCAGAUUUUUUCUCACUCACUAAAAAAAAGAAAAAAUACCAUAGCGAAGAUUUCUUCACACACUAACAAAAGAAAACAAAAAACAAACAAAAAAUAAACAUAGACUUAAAUUACUUUCCUUUCACUAAUAAAAAGACAUGUAAGAGAAACGCAGAUUCAAGAUAUGCAAUGGUCAUUCUUCCUUUCGUCUCAAGGGGUUCAGGGUUGUGUUGUCAGAUCCUCCCACCCCUCACACUAACUAUUUCUAAAGUCCAACAAGGAGGUUAAUCGAGUUCUAAUGAGUGUUCUUUUAGGUUCACGGUACAGAAGAAGGCUCAGACUACCACCAGGGUCAUAAAAGUACCCCUGGAAAUGCCCUAAACCCCCACGAAAGACUAGUAAAUUACGUGUUCUUGGGUGCAGAAAUGUUUUAUAAUACAACCCUAAAAUAAGGUUGGUAUUGUCAAAUGCGUUCGUUCUUUCGAGUUCUAAUGAGUUGUCGAGUUCUAAUGAGUGUUCUUUUAGGUUCACGGUACAGAAGAAGGCUCAGACUAUCACCAGGGUCGUAAAAGUACCCCUGGAAAUGCCCUAAACCCCCACGAAAGACUAGUAAAUUACGUGUUCUUGGGUGCAGAAAUGUUUAAAAAUAUGGUCCCACAGAGCGUCGAUUUGUAUUUUUAUUUAUUAAUUUUAUUUAUUUAUUUUCACUCACAAAAACAAUGACAAAGCGGAUUUUUUUAAUUCAUACACUAAGAAAAAUCAGAAAGGAAAGCAUUUUUUCUCAACAACAACAACAACAACAACAACAAAAAAUACAUAAUAAGACUGCAGAUAUUUUUUUUUCACGAACAAAGAAGAAAAUAUGUAUAAUAGGAAACCGAAUUUAUUUGUUUUUGCUCACGUUCAACAAAUAAAAAAAAAAAUAGGGAGACAGUUUUCUUUCUCUUAUCAACAAAUAAAUAAAUAAAUAAAUAAAUAAGAUAAAUAAAUCGUAUAAUAGGAGUUUUUUCCUCAUAACUAAAAAUAAAAACAAUUAUCCUCUAUCUUUUUCAAGCGCCAAGAUUUUUUCCACUUAAUUAAAAAUAUAGGGAAACAUUUUUUUUUCACAUAUUAAAAAAAAUCAUAUUAUAGGAAAGAAAGUUUUUUUUUUCAUAUGACAGUGAAGCAUUUGUUCUGUUUGUUCAUUUUAUGUUUCCUUAGUGUUUUUGUUUUCUUUUUUGUUCAUUUGUUUCUUUGUUUUUUUGUCCUGUUCAGUUGUUGUUUAUUGUUUUGCUUGAUUGUUAUUUUUUUCGUAAUGUACUUUUUAAAGGCUUGUCUUUGUCUUCAUUUAAAAACAACAACUCAUUAUUAUCUGUAAAUAUUAUUAUUAUUAUUAUUAUUAUUAUUAUUAUUAUUAUUAUUAUUAUUAUUAUUAUUAUUAUUAUUAUUAUAUUUAUUAUUAUUAUUUUUAUUAUCAUUAUUAUCAUUCAUUAUUAUCAUCAUUAUCAACUUCAUUAUCUUACACUGCAGAUGCAUUUUUAACAAAUUCAUUGAUCUGUUAGUUUUUUUCUAUAAUCACAAUGGCAUCACACACACACACACACACACACACACACACACACAAUAUAUAAUAAAUCUACAUAUAUCUUUCAUCUUUUUGUCCAACGUUAGCUAAUAAUGUGACAAAAUAGAUCAUUCUACCAUUCUUCUUCCCUCCUCCUCUAACACAAACACAAACACACACACACACAAAAAAAAAAAAUCACUCAUCUUAACGCCACACUUCUUCCUCUCUAUCACACACACACAAAAGCACAAGGAGAAUAAUAAUAAUAAUAAGAAGAAGAACAAGAAAUACAAGAACAACAAGAACAAAAACAAAACAUGCUCUAACACAUCCC